GGGGUAUCCCGGUUCAAUGGACCGAGCUUACUCUUCAGUCUUUCAAUGUAAGCUAUAACCGACUUUGUGGACGAAUACCCCAGGGAGGGGACCUUCAGAUAUUUGAUGCUUAUGCAUAUUUACACAACAAGUGCUUGUGUGGUGCACCUCUUCAGAGUUGCAACGUGGAGAUUCAAGCAACCGAUCUUUAUCUAAAUUUACCAUCAGAAUAAAUCAUGUAUAAGGACAUCUGUAUGUUAUAUUCGGAAUGAUUAAUAAAAAUGAAUAAAUUUUAUUUGAUGAAUUUGCUGCACAGUUUCAAAAUCUAUUAGAUCCAUCGGCUAGCAACCACUAUGGUUGGCCAUUUGAUUGAAACAAUUACGGAUUUGAAACUCUGAUACCCAGCAUAGAGCCAUGAGAUAACAUAUGAUGUAACAAAUUGAUCAAUCUACCCCGACUCAAUAGCAAAUAGAUAUAUGACCAUAUCUUAUACACAAACCACAAGCUGAGGAAAUAUAAACCAAUAUGCAAACUAAUGAGGAUUAAGCAACCAACCAUUUCCACCAGUAAAACUUUACUGAUCCACUGAAAAUACAUUCGUUUCUGAAAGUAUAAGGCUAACUUAAGAAUGUAAUCUUGGAAAACAUAUAAUAUAUUAGUAUAAUUUUAUUAUUAUUUAGUAAAUUAUAUUAAGAAAAUCAGUUUCCUUUCCAACUAGAUUUAUAUUCAUUUAAGAGAUAUGUUUCUGAAAGUAUAAGGAUUAUUUAAGAACUAGAUAUGAGUAUGUGCAUUGCAACAGGUUUUCUUUUGAUGUUUUAAUUUAAUAAAAAAUAUAAAAUAAUAAAGUAUUUUAUUAUAGUUGUAGGAUUGAUUUUGAAUAUAAGCUUUUAAAAUUCUCUUUUGUCAGAAUUUUAAAAUAAAAAAAAAAUUGUUAGGACUAAAAAAAGAAAAAAAUAUUUUACAAACUCUUAUUAAGGGUUUUAGAAAACAUAUAAGUUAUUUUCACAUAAUGGCAUAUUUUUAUUUACACAUUUAAAAUAUUGGUUGUUUUGUGUGUGCGUUUGAGAUACGUUGAUCUUGUCCUCCUAUCAUAUCAUUUUAGUUACGUUGAUGUUGAUUGCUCUGUUUGAGAUUUGAUAGCUUUGUUUCUGUGUGUUUUAUAUUUGUGUAACUAAGAUGCUUUGUUGUUGUUCUUGUCCACACAGCACGGAGAAUUUAGUCCAUCACAUGAAGGCAUGGAUGGAUACCUGUGCGAGCAGGUAGAUUGAUUUCUGACUUUUGUUAUUUUUGUUUCGGACAAUUAUUUUUGUGCUAAUGGGGUUUGCAAUUGAUUCUCUUGCAGGACUAAGAUCAGGGUUGAGGGAUUCAACACUUCCUCUGAUCGCCUUGUGCUCUUAAGGGCCUUGAAAGAUCUCUUUGAAACGUGUGGAGAAGUGAAGAACAUUGAGAUCAGGGUAGAUCCGGUGUCAAAACUCAUCAGGUAGUUUUGUUUCUUUAUUUAUUUGUGUUUCUUUUGCAAUAACAUUUAACUGAUGAAUAAAUUGAUGAUAGUACUCCACUGCAGGUCUUGCCUUGUUAUCCUUCUAGGAGAAGGUGCCAAAGAGAAAGCUUUACUUCUCAACGGUAGCCAAGUUGGAGGAAGGAAGCUGACUCUCUCAGCAGUUGAGCUACAUCAGGUCGAGCUGCCAAGUUCGUGGCAGACUUCCAAAAGAACAGGUAAUUUCUAUUCUUGACUUCUAUUAAUUUGAUUCUUAGUGUUAAUCUCAUAAAUAUCUUUUUUUCUUGUAGGAGCGAAAUCAUAUCCGUAACUGGAUAUGACCCUUCUCUUCCUCAAGAAGAUCUCGAGAGUGUUUUGUGGAAGCACUUCGCUGCGUGUGGUGAAAUCACGGAAAUCACCUACCGAGUCAGGUUACAACCUUGUUCUGCAGAACAAGAAACUUCUCUCUAUUACUCUUUGUGUAAAACACCUUUUUAAUGCUCUCUUUGCUUGCUGUAUAUCUACAGCUCUGUCCUCGUCCACCUGUAUGGGCUAGGCUCCCUACAACGAGCUGUCCAACUGAAUGGAACCGACCUCGGAGGAGGUUUCACGCUGACCGUCGAAGCCAUGCCCUAUCCGAAGCGUGAAAAAGCCGAAGCCGAGUACGCAAUCCCAGAUGACAUAACUAAAACACUUUAUUAAUUAUGAAUUUUGGGAAGAAGUUAAUUAAUCGAGUUUUCCUUUGUGGUAUUAAUUAUGACAUUUCUUCAUGAUGACUGUAUUCACGAAAUUGUAUUCACCGCUAUUGCCGUGUUGGUUAUAAGUCUUUGUGAUUUUAACUAUUUUUUUGCUUUGGGACUAUGGAUGCUGGCAUGAUAAUUAUACAAUCAUCCUAAUGGGACUGUGGAUGCUGGCAUUUUAUUUGUUCUGUAUCGAUCAAAUACAACCUACAGUCCGAAGACGCUUGCUGACAUGAUAAUUACUUGAUACAAUCUUGCUUCUAUCUAUUACUCAAUGCCCAUUCAAAAUAAAUAUGUGUUUUUCAAAACUAAAGGUUGAUUGGGUUUGGGAUACAGAUAAGACUUAAAGACCAUUGAAUAUUUGAUCAAAAAAAAAAAAAGACCAUUGAAUAUAAAUUUUAUAGGUUGAUUAGAGUAUAAAUUUUAUUUUAUUUUCUACCCAAGAUAUGGGAGAAUAUAUCUACAUGGGAAUCUUUUCUUUAUAAUGUAAAACUAUAGCAACGAUUCUCGCAUACAUUUUUCCUUACGAGCAUGAAUUUGAUUGAUAGUCUAGAAAGACAUAAUCCAAGGAAGUAGUGAGUCGGCAAAGGAAGAGGUUAGUAAGUAGUGACCAGACUUUGUAUGUGUUAUUUACCAUCAAAAUAAAUCAUGUAUAAAUCUGCAUAUUCCAUUUGGAAUGAUAGAUAAAUAAAUGAAUCAUAUUUCAUUCGAUAAAACAUUUUCAAAAAUGUAUUUGAUCGAUACAGAACAAAUACAUUAACGGGAAAAUGUUUCUGUCGAGUUGAACAAAUUUGAUUUAUUAUAGGGAUGCAGAAAACAUGGUUCAUGGCAAAGAAAGUUUACUAUUGAAUACAAUUUCAGUGUACAAUUAUGUUUAAAAAGGACCACCGGAACUUGUUUAUCACGUGGUCUAACUAAAACCAUACCCUACCAUGUUUCCCACUCACUGCGUUACUCUCGUUAUAAUUACUAUACUACGUUAGCCUAUAUAUAUCAUCACAAUUUUCAAUUUAAACACAAACACAAACACAAACACAAACACAACAACACACUAUGGGUAAGACAACGACACUGCUCUUGCUCUUGUUCGCUCUCCUCUUCACCACAUCUUUAUCCAAAGACCUCUGUCACAAAGAUGACAAAAACACCCUCCUCAAGAUCAAGAAAGCCAUGAACAACCCUUACACCAUCAUCUCCUGGGACCCCAAGGACGACUGCUGCACCUGGGUCUCCGUUGAGUGCGGCAACGCAAACCGCGUCACCUCUCUAGACAUUUCAGACGACGACGUCUCCGCUCAGAUCCCUCCUGAAGUCGGUGACUUACCGUAUCUACAAUACCUCACACUCCGCAAACUCCCUAACCUCACCGGUGAAAUCCCACCCACCAUCGCCAAGCUCAAGUAUCUCAAAUCCCUCUGGCUCAGCUGGAACAGCCUGACCGGCCCGGUUCCUGAAUUUCUGAGCCAGCUCAAGAACCUAGAGUACAUAAACCUUUCUUUCAAUAAACUCUCUGGCUCCAUACCCGGUUCUCUCUCUUUGUUACCUAAACUAGAUUUUCUUGAACUAAGCAGGAACAAGCUUACAGGUAAUCACUCAUUCUCUUUGUCUCUAUUAGUCUUUUAUUAACAAGCUGUAAUUCUAAAAAUCUCAUAUAUCAAAAUAUACAAUUAGGUCCCAUACCAGAGUCAUUUGGAUCAUUUAAAAGAGCAGCAUAUGGGAUUUACCUAUCGCACAACCAGCUGUCCGGUUCUAUACCAAAAUCACUAGGCAACGUUGACUUUAACACCAUUGAUCUUUCCCGGAACAAGCUUGAAGGUGAUGCGUCGAUGUUGUUUGGAGCCAAAAAGACGACAUGGCACAUCGACUUAUCUAGAAACAUGUUCCAGUUCGAUAUCUCCAAGGUUAAGGUCGCUAAGACAGUUAAUUUCUUGGACUUGAAUCACAACAGCCUCACAGGGAGUAUCCCGGAUCAAUGGACCCAACUUGAUCUUCAGACUUUCAACGUUAGCUAUAACAGACUGUGUGGACGCAUCCCCCAGGGAGGUGACCUUCAGAGAUUUGAUGUUUAUGCAUAUUUACACAACAAGUGCCUAUGUGAUGCACCUCUUCCGAGUUGCAACGUGAAGAUUCAAGCAACCGAUCUUUAUCUAAACUUACCAUCAAAAUAAAUCAUGUAUAAGGACA
RNAcentral lists this long non-coding RNA (4380 nucleotides) under Brassica napus (rape). RNAcentral describes it as "long non-coding RNA (BNAP_LNC012652)". Lineage: Eukaryota; Viridiplantae; Streptophyta; Magnoliopsida; Brassicales; Brassicaceae. The record is from RNAcentral.